Molecule: RNA transcript, 3918 nt
Organism: Helianthus annuus (common sunflower)
Lineage: Eukaryota; Viridiplantae; Streptophyta; Magnoliopsida; Asterales; Asteraceae
Gene name: probable LRR receptor-like serine/threonine-protein kinase RFK1
Exons: 9
Source: RefSeq, a predicted model, not a curated record
CACCCUCUUAGGCCAGAGAAUUCCUCAUGGGCGCCAAACUCUUUUACUCUAUUUUCCUUUCACGCGGCUUCUUAGACACUCUUUUCAUCGUAUCAUUCAAAAACCCUAAUUAUCAUAUAGGUAGUGAUUCUCUGGCGAUUUCAUACAUCUGCGAUUUUAUUCGAAACACUUAAUCUGUAGCAGGGCGAUUCUCAUCAAAGUGAUUAUUGGAAACCCUAAAUUGUAACCAGUGGAAUUGAAUCCAGCCGUCCAUUGAGAAACCUUAAAAUCUUCAGAAAAGUUUGAAGCUUGAGAGAGAGAGAGAGAGAGAGAGAGAGAGAGAGAGAAUGGAAACAAGUGGUGGUUGGAGCCAUCCAUCCAUGUUUUAUCUUCUUUCCAUCAGUCAUCAAAUGGGUUUUUAUUGUGAAGAGGUUUUGUUGAUGAGGAUGUUAGAUAGUCAAAGCCAUGGGAUUUCAAUCCUUUUUGAUCAAUGUGAUUAUCAGAAAAUCCCAAAUCUUAAAUCUGGUGUUAAACAAAUGGUUAUAUGUUUUGUAACAGAAAUGGUCUUGAAAAUUGUUUGGAUUGUAUUGAAUUGAAUUAAGUUGAGUUAAUUAAGGUUAGGGUUUAUGUGAAUAGUUUUUAAUAGUGUUUGGAUUGAAUAGAACUGAAUUGAAUUAAGUAAGGUUAUGGGUUUAUGUUGGGUUUAUUAUUAUUAUUAUUAUUAUUAUUAUUAUUAUUAUUAUUAUUAUUAUUAUUUUAGGUUCAAGGGUUUAUGUGUUUUGGAACAGAAAUGAGAAAAUUUACUGGAAAAAAAAUAUUUCUGUUUAAUAUAUUGUUAACUAUUUGGAUUAAAUUGAAUUUAAUUGAGUUGAGUUAAGUUAAGUUAAUUAAGGUUAGUGUUUAUGUGUUAUUUUUUUAGGUAAAGGGUUUAUGUGUUUUGGAACAGAAAUGGUUUUGAAAAUUGUUUGGAUUGAAUUGAGUUGAGUUAAUUAAGGUUAGGGGUUAAUCAUAUAUGUGUUUUAUUAUUAUUAUUAUUAUUUUGGUUAAAGGGGUUAUGUGUUUUGGACCACGAAUGGAGAAACCAACUGGAAAGAAGAAGUUACAAACUGGAGUUGAAAAAGCAACCAAACAGAACAAAAAAACAUCAUCUGAGAGAGCUUUAAAGCUUAUUGAUGAAGAUACUGUUGUGCUCAUUCAAAUGGCUCAAGAACUAUAGGAAGAAGGUAUUAAAAUAUUUCAAAAGCAUGACAGUGAAGGUAUAAUGCUAAAGUAUGAAAAAGGAGUGAAUCUGUUACCAAAAAAUCACAUAGACGUUACGUAUUUACGUAGCAAAAUGGCGGUUUGUUAUAUGCAAUUGGGACUUAAGGAGUACCCUAGAGCUAUUGAGAAGUGUAAUAAAGCUCUUGAAGUUGCUCUGAAAUACAGUCCGACGUUGGUUAAACGAGCGAAGUGUUAUUCCGUGCAAAAUAAGUUUAAUUCGACUUUGAGUGAUGUUACGACCGUGUUGAACAUGGAGCCGAACAAUGUGGCUGCAUUGGAGAUAGAGAGUUCGGUUAAGAAGGCAAUGGGUGGGGACGAGUUGAACAAAGAUGUUGGUGUUGUUGAAAAUGUCGAAGAUAAAGCGAUAGCAUCGAAAAAGAAAGCGAAAAAGAAGAAAGACGAUGAGAAGGUGAGUGAGGUGAAUGAGUCCAAAGGUAAAGAUAUUCGCAUAGUUGAGUACAUCGAUGAAAAAGAGAAAAUAUCAAAAGCGGAAGUGAAAAAGGAGAACGACGAUGAGAAGGUGGUUCACGUAGAUAAAACAAGCAUAAAAGACGAAAAACUGGUGACGAAAACCGUGAAGAUGGUUCUCGGAGACGAUAUAAGGUGGGCCGAGCUUCCGGUUAAUUGUAGCAUCGGUUUGGUUCGGGAGAUAAUUCAGGACCGGUUUCCGGGCCUAAACGAUGUUCUUAUAAAGUAUAAAGAUCCAUAAGGCGAUUUGAUCACAGUUUUAACUGCCGAUGAGUUAAGAUUAGCCGAAAAGUCAAGUGAUCCUCAAGGCUCUUUUAGGCUUUGUUUAACACAAGUUAGUCCAUAUAAAGAACCAUUAUACGAAGGGUUGAUGUUGACUGGUCAACGACUUCCUAACUCCGAACCCGUACAAUCUAGCGUGUCCGAGAAUGUUAGUUCGGAAAAACCGGAGGGAGUCGAAGAAUGGAUCGUUCAAUUCACAAGGCUAUUUAAGAACCAUGUGGGUUUAGAUACGAAUCUUUAUUUAGAUCUUCACGAGAUUGGAAUGGAAUUGUAUUCCGAAGCGAUGGAAGACGGUAUCUUAAACAAAAACGCUCCAAAUCUGUUUAAUAUCGCUGGUGAAAAGUUUUAAGAAACGUCCGGGUAUCACCAACGGGUUCAAUGGGUAUGUGAGUUUUUGUUCUUAGUAGGAUGCGUAUAUAUUUUUUCUACAGUUUCUGUAAUAACUAUGGGGCGGGGUAUAGUGGGUAAAUCUGUCUUGGUGCUUCGGUGGCAGGCAUAUAGUCUCAGGCCUGUUUGUCUUCGAGGAUGAAAAUUGCUUUGGGCAUGCAUCUAUCUAAGUGGGUGAAAAUAAGAAGUUGGGGGCAUCUGUUUUAGCAAAUGAUGACGUUUCUACUAAUUCUACACUACCUAAAGUUGACGUAGUUCCAAGAUUACCUGGGUCCAAAAAAAAAGGUGCCAUUUCUCCUGGUAGUUAUGUUGUUAUUAACCAAAAAAUAGGUUUUAACUUCUUUGCCUCAACUUCGUUGAGUAGCGGUACUCAGUCAUCUGUGCUUUCUUAACCAACUUCCGUAGUUGAUACAGUUACCCUUCAAAAUAAACCUACAAUGUUCCCAACUUUUGAAACAGAUAAAGCAAAUGUUAGUGCUACAAACGCAGUUGGCCCAACCAGCUUGAUUCGGAUCAUCAACCUCUGCUAACUUGACAACUGCAUCAGCAAGUGGUGUAUUUUCAUUUGGUGGCUCAACAAAUAAUUAUGGUAUUAUUAAUGGGACUUCUUCGGGUCCAUCAAUUUUGCUUCCUCAUCUUCUUUUUAAUCUUCUGGAACCAACACAAACAAGAUUUUCAGUAGUAGCUCUUCCACUGUUCUCUCUUCUAUCACUUCAGCUGCCAGCGGUGCUUUUUCUACAUCUGGUGUUGUGUACGCAUUUUAAUUUUAGGUUUGCAACUGCAUCAUCUACUACAGCCUCAGUAGCACAGACCUUACUUUUUUUCCAGCACAUCAUCCACCGCAUCGAGCAAUGGUGGUAGCAUAUUUAGAUUCAGUUCUCCAUCAGCUACAUUAAACACCAACGGGUCUUAGGCAAAUACACAGGCUGCAUCUACUGUAGUUACACAGGCGGUCCCAUUCAAGUUUGCAGCAACAAUACUUGAAGAGGUCACCAGCGGAGGUAACGGUUCUGAGCUCCUGAAAUGAAUCGACAUCUACAUAUCUUUGAUCUGGUCAGAUCUUCAACGUUUAAGAAUAGUCUGAUGUUUAGGAACCUUGAAGCAAAUAACUUUUCGGGAACUGUUCCAUCUGAUUUGGGGAGAUUAAUAAAUUUACACACAUUGAUUUUGUCCUCAAACCGGUUGACGGGAACGUUGCCAGCAUCCCUUGCUGAAUUGAGCAAUUUAAAAGAUUUCAGGAUAAUUGACAACAAUCUUAGUGGGUCCAUACCUAAUUUCAUAGAAAAUUGGAGACAACUCAAUAAACUAGAACUAAUUGGGACGGGGCUUUCGGGACCGAUUCCUUCAUCCAUUUCCUUUCUGAACUUAACUGACGUGAGAAUUUGUGAACUAAGUGGACCAACUCAGAGAUUCCUUCCGUUAGAUAAUGCUGUUGGUUUACUAACACUGUAUGUAGAAGGUUUUGUAUUUCAAAUUGUCGUUGUAAUCUAAUAUAUAUUCGUUUGUGUUUUAACGUGUAUAAAAUCAUAAUAUUUACGUCAA